CCGACUGACAGCACUUCCUGUUCUAAUUCUUGCUGUUUUUGCUGUAAAUGCUGGUGAAGAUUUAGUAUGGCAGCCUUCAAGUCCACCACCAGGUCUUCUUUCUUCUGAUUCAAGCUCAGAAUCUGCUUUUCCAUACCUUCGAUUUCUCCCUAUGCAGAAAGAAUGUUUGCAUUGGUUUGGGACAUCUGAUGCCUUUGCCACAGGAGCCUGCUGCAUUUGGUGCAAGGGCUGAAGUUUUUUCUACGCUGUGGGCUUACACAGCCAGGAACUAGUCCCUGCCAAAGCUUCCUACCAUAUGGGAAUAAAUAAGCAAAUAAAGGUGCUGUGAAGUGUAAUUUGUUACGGGAAUGAUGAAGAAAUAAUUCCAAGCUUUAUAAGGUUAAAAAAUUUGUGUGACUGAUAUGUGGGAAUAAAAUGUCAUACAUGGGCAGUAAAAGUGCAGAUGCCCACUGUCUGUCCAGGAGGAUUACAGAGUCAUAGAAUCCUGGAUUUGGAGGGAACGUCAGGCGUUGUCUUGUUUGACAUCCUCCUCUCCAGUACUCUGAAAGGCAUCAUUCAAAGCCUGAGCUGUAUCAGAAGACAGACCUGCUCCUUUUUAGCAGAACUUCAGAGACAGAGAAACUCCACCUAUGAGUGAAAGUUCUGAAGUCCAGAGAAAGAAGGUGAUCCUUCCAGAGCUGCAGCCAGGACAGAGCGCAGACCUGGACUUCUGACACCCAGCCCCAUGACUCCAGUGCUCCCGCACACAUUCUGACACCAUACCCCUAUUCUGUUUGAAAUGAACCUUCUUGUGAUUGCUUCGGGAAAUAAUUCAAUCUGAGUUAGCUGUGGUGUGCGUCCCUUUUCCAUAAGCACUAAACUUCAGAGCUACAGUGCCCCCCAACAGAC
RNAcentral lists this long non-coding RNA (888 nucleotides) under Bos taurus (domestic cattle). RNAcentral describes it as "long non-coding RNA NONBTAT002650". Lineage: Eukaryota; Metazoa; Chordata; Mammalia; Artiodactyla; Bovidae. The record is from RNAcentral.